AGAGUUUGAUCCUGGCUCAGGAUGAAUGCUGGCGGCGUGCUUAACACAUGCAAGUCGAACGAAGAUGAUUAGAAUGAGAGCUUCGGCAGGAUUUCUUCUCAUCUUAGUGGCGGACGGGUGAGUAACGUGUGGGCAACCUGCCCUAUACUGGGGAAUAAUCACUGGAAACGGUGACUAAUACCGCAUGUCAUCACGGAAGGGCAUCCUUCUGUGAGAAAAGGAGUAAUUCGGUAUAGGAUGGGCCCGCAUCUGAUUAGCUAGUUGGUGAGAUAACAGCCCACCAAGGCGACGAUCAGUAGCCGACCUGAGAGGGUGAUCGGCCACAUUGGGACUGAGACACGGCCCAAACUCCUACGGGAGGCAGCAGUGGGGAAUAUUGCACAAUGGGGGAAACCCUGAUGCAGCAACGCCGCGUGAAGGAUGAAGGUUUUCGGAUCGUAAACUUCUAUCAAUAGGGACGAAACAAAUGACGGUACCUAAAUAAGAAGCCCCGGCUAACUACGUGCCAGCAGCCGCGGUAAUACGUAGGGGGCAAGCGUUAUCCGGAAUUACUGGGUGUAAAGGGAGCGUAGGCGGCAUGUCAAGCCAGAUGUGAAAGCCCGGGGCUUAACCCCGUGGAUUGCAUUUGGAACUGGCAAGCUAGAGUACAGGAGAGGAAAGCGGAAUUCCUAGUGUAGCGGUGAAAUGCGUAGAUAUUAGGAGGAACACCGGUGGCGAAGGCGGCUUACUGGACUGUAACUGACGUUGAGGCUCGAAAGCGUGGGGAGCAAACAGGAUUAGAUACCCUGGUAGUCCACGCCGUA
RNAcentral lists this ribosomal RNA (803 nucleotides) under uncultured bacterium. RNAcentral's name for it is "bacterial SSU rRNA". It matches the Rfam family "Bacterial small subunit ribosomal RNA", at positions 8 to 804 of the family's 1533-position model. The record is from RNAcentral.